This 700-nucleotide ribosomal RNA is filed under the name Bacillus subtilis. RNAcentral describes it as "bacterial SSU rRNA". It matches the Rfam family "Bacterial small subunit ribosomal RNA", at positions 76 to 760 of the family's 1533-position model. The record is from RNAcentral. Lineage: Bacteria; Bacillati; Bacillota; Bacilli; Caryophanales; Bacillaceae.
GAGCUUGCUCCCUGAUGUUAGCGGCGGACGGGUGAGUAACACGUGGGUAACCUGCCUGUAAGACUGGGAUAACUCCGGGAAACCGGGGCUAAUACCGGAUGGUUGUUUGAACCGCAUGGUUCAAACAUAAAAGGUGGCUUCGGCUACCACUUUCAGAUGGACCCGCGGCGCAUUAGCUAGUUGGUGAGGUAACGGCUCACCAAGGCAACGAUGCGUAGCCGACCUGAGAGGGUGAUCGGCCACACUGGGACUGAGACACGGCCCAGACUCCUACGGGAGGCAGCAGUAGGGAAUCUUCCGCAAUGGACCAAAGUCUGACGGAGCAACGCCGCGUGAGUGAUGAAGGUUUUCGGAUCGUAAAGCUCUGUUGUUAGGGAAGAACAAGUACCGUUCGAAUAGGGCGGUACCUUGACGGUACCUAACCAGAAAGCCACGGCUAACUACGUGCCAGCAGCCGCGGUAAUACGUAGGUGGCAAGCGUUGUCCGGAAUUAUUGGGCGUAAAGGGCUCGCAGGCGGUUUCUUAAGUCUGAUGUGAAAGCCCCCGGCUCAACCGGGGAGGGUCAUUGGAAACUGGGGAACUUGAGUGCAGAAGAGGAGAGUGGAAUUCCACGUGUAGCGGUGAAAUGCGUAGACAUGUGGAGGAACACCAGUGGCGAAGGCGACUCUCUGGUCUGUAACUGACGCUGAGGAGCGAAAGC